GACGAACGCUGGCGGCGUGCUUAACACAUGCAAGUCGAGCGGUAAGGCCCUUUCGGGGGUACACGAGCGGCGAACGGGUGAGUAACACGUGGGUGACCUGCCCUCCAGCUCUGGGAUAAGCCUGGGAAACCGGGUCUAAUACCGGAUAUGACUCCAUGACGCAUGUUGUGGGGUGGAAAGCCUUGUGCGGCUGAGGAUGGGCCCGCGGCCUAUCAGC
RNAcentral lists this ribosomal RNA (217 nucleotides) under uncultured bacterium. Its description in RNAcentral is "partial 16S ribosomal RNA". It matches the Rfam family "Bacterial small subunit ribosomal RNA", at positions 28 to 245 of the family's 1533-position model. The record is from RNAcentral.